This 484-nucleotide ribosomal RNA is filed under the name uncultured bacterium. RNAcentral describes it as "partial 16S ribosomal RNA". It matches the Rfam family "Bacterial small subunit ribosomal RNA", at positions 29 to 507 of the family's 1533-position model. The record is from RNAcentral.
AUUGAACGCUGGCGGCAUGCUUUACACAUGCAAGUCGAACGGCAGCGCGGGCUUCGGCCUGGCGGCGAGUGGCGAACGGGUGAGUAAUACAUCGGAACGUGCCCAGUAGUGGGGGAUAGCUCGGCGAAAGCCGGAUUAAUACCGCAUACGACCUGAGGGUGAAAGCGGGGGAUCUUCGGACCUCGCGCUAUUUGAGCGGCCGAUGGCAGAUUAGCUAGUUGGUGGGGUAAAGGCCUACCAAGGCGACGAUCUGUAGCUGGUCUGAGAGGACGACCAGCCACACUGGGACUGAGACACGGCCCAGACUCCUGCGGGAGGCAGCAGUGGGGAAUUGUGGACAAUGGGCGAAAGCCUGAUCCAGCAAUGCCGCGUGUGUGAUGAAGGCCUUCGGGUUGUAAAGCACUUUUGGCGGGAACGAAAAGGACUGUGCCAAUACCACGGUUCGAUGACGGUACCCGCAGAAUAAGCACCGGCUAACUACGUG